CAGCAGCCACGGGAAUACGGAGGGGGCUAGCGUUGUUCGGAAUUACUGGGCGUAAAGCGCACGUAGGCGGCUUGGUAAGUUAGAGGUGAAAGCCCGGAGCUCAACUCCGGAAUUGCCUUUAAGACUGCCGAGCUAGUAGGUGAGAGAGGUAAGUGGAAUUCCGAGUGUAGAGGUGAAAUUCGUAGAUAUUCGGAAGAACACCAGUGGCGAAGGCGGCUUACUGGCUCAUUCUAGACGCUGAGGUGCGGAAGCGUGGGGAGCAAACAGGAUUAGAUACCCCGGUAGUCCCUGUCUCUUAUAA
RNAcentral lists this ribosomal RNA (301 nucleotides) under uncultured bacterium. RNAcentral's name for it is "partial 16S ribosomal RNA". It matches the Rfam family "Bacterial small subunit ribosomal RNA", at positions 509 to 809 of the family's 1533-position model. The record is from RNAcentral.